Cajanus cajan (pigeon pea) is the source of this 273-nucleotide non-coding RNA. The record is from RefSeq and is a predicted model, not a curated record. Lineage: Eukaryota; Viridiplantae; Streptophyta; Magnoliopsida; Fabales; Fabaceae.
UUCGUCUACCACCGUGUAAUCGUUUGCUCCUCUUUGUCUACUGCCACAAAGGCGAUUUGCUUGUCUCCUUCUAACACCACGAAGAACAGAUGAACUUGUUGGCUUUGAAGAAGAAUGGAAAGAAAAAGGUCAAAAGUAUAUACUUGGAUGGACUGGUAGUAUUGAAUUUCAGGUAAUUUUAGCAAGUGUCAAUGAAAUUCAAGGAGGAGAUGGAUGAAGUGUCACAGUUGGUCCAUCAUCUCAAUCAUAGCCAUUGUUGUGAUUGGUCAUACU